RNAcentral lists this ribosomal RNA (279 nucleotides) under uncultured bacterium. Its description in RNAcentral is "partial 16S ribosomal RNA". It matches the Rfam family "Bacterial small subunit ribosomal RNA", at positions 506 to 784 of the family's 1533-position model. The record is from RNAcentral.
UGCCAGCCGCCGCGGUAAUACGGAGGGUGCAAGCGUUACUCGGAAUCACUGGGCGUAAAGAGCGUGUAGGCGGGUUAAUAAGUCAGAUGUGAAAGCCAAUAGCUCAACUAUUGAACUGCAUUUGAAACUGUAAACCUAGAAUAUGGGAGAGGUAGAUGGAAUUUCUGGUGUAGUGGUAAAAUCCGUAGAGAUCAGAAGGAAUACCGAUUGCGAAGGCGGCCCCCUGGGAUAAUACUGACGCUCAGACACGAAAGCGUGGGGAGCAAACAGGAUUAGAUA